RNAcentral lists this non-coding RNA (88 nucleotides) under Pseudomonas fluorescens HK44. The record is from RNAcentral. Lineage: Bacteria; Pseudomonadati; Pseudomonadota; Gammaproteobacteria; Pseudomonadales; Pseudomonadaceae.
UGUUGCGGCGGCUGUGCGCGGGCACGCUUCGGCGUGAUCGAGUUCUCCGAUGCUCGGUAUUCCUACCCCGCGUAUAGCUGCCACCUAA